Long non-coding RNA from Vombatus ursinus (common wombat), 713 nucleotides. RefSeq lists it as uncharacterized. Lineage: Eukaryota; Metazoa; Chordata; Mammalia; Diprotodontia; Vombatidae. The record is from RefSeq and is a predicted model, not a curated record. The transcript is spliced from 3 exons.
CCUAAGCUGUGGCACCCAGAACCAAACACGGCACUCCAUACAUGAUCUGACAAGGACAGAGCACAGUGAAACUUUCACUUCCUCUGAGAGACCAAAUGGCCAGAACAUUCAGACUGUGGUGGAAAGGAAAAAGAGACUCAGGAAGCAUGUAUUGUACUAUCACAAGGGAGGAGUGGAGGGCCUGGAGGCCACCAGGAAGACCAACAACAGGCUACCAUGGGUGAAUGGAUAUUCCAUGACUGAAGUGUCCAAGCAUGUGUCCUGUGAAUGCAAGUCUUCCAAAGGUCCUAUUAGAGUUAAAAGUUGAAUGGCAGCAGUAAUUGUAGCAUCUGUUAGAGGGUCAAUGGAUAAAUGCAGAUGAAUCUACAAUGAGAGCAGAGAAACAUACUGAGGGCAAAUAGACAUGGAGCCAACCAAAGAAAAGUAACUUAAGGACAAGAGGCCCUUCUUUGCUGAGAGAAAUGCUGUACUCUAGAAAGCCAGUGACUUCAGAGCCCAGGUAGAGAGCUUAAUGGAACUUCACAAUGAUGCUACAAAGGGAGAAAAGUACUUCCAUUGAAGGAAUUUUGAAUUACCCUUUUAUAUUCUCUAUACAGGUGCCUCACUACCAUUACACAUCAGGUUUUGACUCAUUCUACCCAUGGAUAUUGUAUGUAUUUGUGGAAGAAUCUGCCCCGAGUUUUGGGGAAAAUGUUUUUGUACCAACAAUUCUU